GAUGAACGCUGGCGGCGUGCCUAAUACAUGCAAGUCGAGCGAACGGACGAGAAGCUUGCUUCUCUGAUGUUAGCGGCGGACGGGUGAGUAACACGUGGAUAACCUACCUAUAAGACUGGGAUAACUUCGGGAAACCGGAGCUAAUACCGGAUAAUAUUUUGAACCGCAUGGUUCAAAGGUGAAAGACGGUCUUGCUGUCACUUAUAGAUGGAUCCGCGCUGCAUUAGCUAGUUGGUAAGGUAACGGCUUACCAAGGCAACGAUGCAUAGCCGACCUGAGAGGGUGAUCGGCCACACUGGAACUGAGACACGGUCCAGACUCCUACGGGAGGCAGCAGUAGGGAAUCUUCCGCGAUGGGCGAAAGCCUGACGGAGCAACGCCGCGUGAGUGAUGAAGGUCUUCGGAUCGUAAAACUCUGUUAUUAGGGAAGAACAUAUGUGUAAGUAACUGUGCACAUCUUGACGGUACCUAAUCAGAAAGCCACGGCUAACUACGUG
Molecule: ribosomal RNA, 497 nt
Filed under: uncultured bacterium
Lineage: Bacteria
Description: partial 16S ribosomal RNA
Rfam family: Bacterial small subunit ribosomal RNA
Source: RNAcentral